GUGGGGAAUAUUGGGCAAUGGGGGAAACCCUGACCCAGCAACGCCGCGUGAAGGAAGAAGGCUUUCGGGUUGUAAACUUCUUUUACCAGGGAAAAACACAAUGAUGGUACCUGGAGAAAAAGCUACGGCUAACUACGUGCCAGCAGCCGCGGUAAUACGUAGGUGGCAAGCGUUGUCCGGAAUUACUGGGUGUAAAGGGCGUGUAGGCGGAACUACAAGUCAGGGGUGAAAACUAUGGGCUUACCCAUAGCCUGCCUUUGAAACUGUAGUCCUUGAGUGCUGGAGAGGCAAUUGGAAUUCCUAGUGUAGCGGUGAAAUGCGUAGAUAUUAGGAGGAACACCAGUGGCGAAGGCGAAUUGCUGGACAGUAACUGACGCUGAGGCGCGAAAGCGUGGGGAGCAAACAGGAUUAGAAACCCUAGUAGUCC
RNAcentral lists this ribosomal RNA (427 nucleotides) under uncultured bacterium. RNAcentral describes it as "partial 16S ribosomal RNA". It matches the Rfam family "Bacterial small subunit ribosomal RNA", at positions 354 to 796 of the family's 1533-position model. The record is from RNAcentral.